CCUACGGGAGGCAGCAGUAGGGAAUCUUUCACAAUGGGCGAAAGCCUGAUGGAGCAACGCCGCGUGCAGGAUGAAGGCCUUCGGGUUGUAAACUGCUUUUAUAAGCGAGAAAUAUGAUGGUAACUUAUGAAUAAGGAUCGGCUAAAUACGUGCCAGCAGCCGCGGUCAUACGUAGGAUCCGAGCAUUAUCCGGAGUGACUGGGUGUAAAGAGUUGCGUAGGUGGCAUAAUAAGUAGCUAGUGAAAUCUGGUGGCUCAACCAUUCAGACUAUUAGCUAAACUGUUAAGCUCGAGACCGUUAGGGGUAACUGGAAUGUCUGGUGUAGGAGUGAAAUCCGUAGAUAUUAGAAGGAACACCAAUAGCGUAGGCAGGUUGCUGGGACGGUUCUGACACUAAGGCACGAAAGCGUAGGGAGCAAACGGGAUUAGAUACCCCUGUAGUC
Molecule: ribosomal RNA, 442 nt
Filed under: uncultured bacterium
Lineage: Bacteria
Description: partial 16S ribosomal RNA
Rfam family: Bacterial small subunit ribosomal RNA
Source: RNAcentral